This 398-nucleotide long non-coding RNA is filed under the name Rattus norvegicus (Norway rat). Its description in RNAcentral is "long non-coding RNA NONRATT021918". Lineage: Eukaryota; Metazoa; Chordata; Mammalia; Rodentia; Muridae. The record is from RNAcentral.
ACCCACAGCUGAUCAAGAAUCCUUCCAUCGUGAAGAAAGUGCAGGACUUCAUGGAGUAUGUAUAAAAGCUCCCUUUCCUUGUUCCCAUGGCUACCCUUUCUUGUUCCCAUGGCUACCCUGCCACUCCCCCCACCAUACUGAAUCUGAGUUUGCCUCUUCAGCAGACCCUUUUACUAGAGAGGCCACGUUUUCUGUAAUGGAUGGAAGCCUGGUUGUUAGCAACUUCAGCUCUUUUAGAAACAGAGAAGGGGAAGUCAAAUCCCUGAGGCCUCCCAUGUGGGUGACUCCCUCUUUCUUUCCAGGCACCCCUUCUCCUCCUUCCCCAAGGUGUUUCUGUGUCGUGAGCAUGGCAAUUAACUCUGGGAGUUGGGAGAAUAUCUAAGUCCCUCGCCUGGUAC